Long non-coding RNA from Lytechinus variegatus (green sea urchin), 839 nucleotides. RefSeq lists it as uncharacterized. The record is from RefSeq and is a predicted model, not a curated record. The transcript has 2 exons. NCBI's taxonomy places the organism in Eukaryota, Metazoa, Echinodermata, Echinoidea, Temnopleuroida, Toxopneustidae.
CCUAAACACCUAAAGGUCCCCUCACACCUAAACACCUAAAGGUCCCCUCACUACUAAAGGCCCCCUCACACCUAAAGGCCCCCUCACACCUAAACACCUAAAGGCCCCCUCACACCUAAACACCUAAAGGUCCCCUCACACCUAAAGGCCCCCUCACACCUAAACACCUAAAGGCCCCCUCACAUCUAAACACCUAAAGGCCCCCUCACACCUUACACCUAAAGGCCCCCUCACACCUAAACACCUAAAGGUCCCCUCACACCUAAAGGCCCCCUCACACCUAAACACCUAAAGGUCCCCUCACACCUAAACACCUAAAGGUCCCCUCACACCUAAAGGCCCCCUCACACCUAACCGAAUUGCCUGAAAUAUGCCUUGCGAUGGCUGGCGAAAGGCAAUUAAAAAAAAUGUUUUCAAUGGAAACUAAUAGUAAAUCAUCUUUACCCUUUGUGUUUGGGUUCAUAUACCCUCAAAACUAAAAGUUGCGAUUAUUCAAAUUUACGCAGAAAUUUCCUGACGAAUUGAAAAAUCACUGGUCAUAUGUUUGAAUUCGCAUAUCUUAUUUAAUCUGUGGUAAUCGUUGGUUUAUCGUUCGAGUGUUAUUGCCGCGCAUAGUCCCUCAUCGCGCUUUUGCCAAAGUGGAACGAUCUCGAAAGAACACUUAACAAAGCAACACAAUGACAAAAUUGCAGUUGCGCAUGGAAACAAAGAUACUAUGACAAACAAAUUUUCGCUUGCAAUCUUCAUGCGAGGGAAAACCAAUACUAACUUCUACUAAAUCUUAAUAGCGAUACAUACAUGAAGACAAGGCUUAGAGAUACUAAGACAAACUAUGGAUA